RNA transcript from Molossus molossus (Pallas's mastiff bat), 2357 nucleotides. It is a transcript of the gene named makorin ring finger protein 2, with no coding region annotated. NCBI's taxonomy places the organism in Eukaryota, Metazoa, Chordata, Mammalia, Chiroptera, Molossidae. The record is from RefSeq and is a predicted model, not a curated record. The transcript has 10 exons.
GGCAGGGCUGAGGUAGCGACGGCGGCGGCCAGAGCGAGAAGCGGCAGCGCGACCACGGCCCUGUAGCCUGACCACCAUGAGCACCAAGCAGGUCACUUGCAGGUAUUUUAUGCAUGGUGUGUGUCGGGAAGGAAACCAAUGUCUGUUCUCACAUGACUUGGCCAAUAGCAAGCCAUCCACCAUCUGCAAGUACUAUCAGAAGGGCUACUGCGCCUAUGGAACUCGUUGCAGAUAUGAUCACACAAGGCCCUCUGCUGCAGCUGGUGGUGCUGUGGGCUCCGUGCCCCACAGUGUGCCCUCCCCGGGCUUCCACAGUCCUCACCCUCCUUCCGACCUCACUGCACCUAUUGUGAAAACUAACUUACAUGAACCUGGGAAACGUGAGAAAAGAACAUUGGUACUUAGAGACCGAAAUCUCUCUGGCAUGGCUGAAGAAAAGGCUUGCCCCAGUGUGGUGAGUAAUCCGGGAAGCAGUGACACCCAGAGUAGUCCAGAGAUGAAGCCGCAUUCUUACCUGGAUGCAAUCAGAAGUGGCCUCGAUCACUUGGAAGCCAGCAGUUCCUACAGCAGCGAGCAGCAGCUGUGCCCCUAUGCGGCCGCUGGGGAGUGCCGAUUUGGGGAUGCUUGUGUCUACCUGCAUGGGGAAAUGUGUGAAAUCUGUAGGUUACAAGUCCUGCACCCCUUUGACCCAGAGCAAAGGAAAGCUCACGAGAAGAUCUGCAUGUCAACAUUUGAACAUGAGAUGGAAAAGGCCUUUGCCUUCCAGGCAAGUCAGGACAAAGUGUGCAGUAUCUGCAUGGAAGUGAUCCUCGAGAAGGCGUCUGCUUCUGAGAGGAGAUUUGGGAUUCUCUCCAACUGCAAUCACACAUACUGCUUGUCCUGCAUCCGACAGUGGAGGUGUGCCAAGCAGUUCGAGAACCCAAUCAUUAAGUCUUGUCCAGAAUGCCGUGUAAUAUCAGAGUUUGUAAUUCCAAGUGUGUAUUGGGUAGAAGAUCAGGAUAAAAAGAACGAGUUGAUCGAAGCUUUCAAACAGGGAAUGGGAAAAAAAGCUUGUAAGUACUUCGAGCAAGGCAAGGGGACCUGCCCAUUUGGAAACAAAUGUCUUUAUCGCCAUGCAUACCCUGAUGGGCGGCUUGCAGAGCCUGAGAAACCUCGGAAACAGCUCAGUUCUGAAGGCACUGUGAGGUUCUUCAAUUCAGUGCGGCUCUGGGAUUUCAUUGAGAACCGAGAAAGCCAGCAUGUCCCCAACACUGAAGAUGUUGAUGUGACAGAGCUUGGGGACCUCUUCAUGCACCUGUCUGGAGUGGAGUCAUCAGAACCCUGAAGAAUAGAUGGUUGGUCGCCCCUGCGUCUUGGGCUCCACCAGCACAGCCUUUCCCAACUAGGGUGUGCAGAGCUUCCUUUACUGCAGCCCCAGAACUGAGCAGUCAAAUGAAACAACCACCAAAGGAUACUGUUGGAUUUCAUGUCUCUGUGGAUGAUGUUCUUUGCAUGCAAAUAGCUGUGAAGGAAAAAUAACUAUUAAAAACAGUUUAAAGGGUAUGGCUAGAAAGUAGCUUCCAACUACAGCUAUGAAGCAAACUACCUGAAGGCCUUGCUCCCAGUGGAUCUACAUCCGGGGAUAGCCCUGCACUGGUUCAGGCGGGGCCACGUGGUGCUCACCCUAAAGGGUUCAGCAGGACCCCUCGUUGGUGGCAUUCAUCACUCUUCAACUUACUGCUACAAGUCUAAAUAGUGACUCAAAGAUUUGAAAGCUGAAGGUUUGACAUCCACAGCCAAGGUAAUUUGACCAUAAAAGGAGCUCAUGGAAAUAAAUGCAAAAAUAGAACCUAUUACUCCCUACCUCAAAUCAAAACUCAAGAGAUAGAAUCUGGGCUACCGAAUAUAGUUGUGUCCAGAGGUUUAUAACAGUAGAAGGGGGUAUGCUCAUCAAAGGGGGCUCUUCUAAAGGUUUGACAACCACAUAAACUAGAUUGAAACUUCCUACUCCCUCUCACUUGUAAGGGAGGAUACUCAGCCACAGGCCUCCACCAUGAACACUCACUAACCACCAGUUCCAGCUAUAGGCCUUCAGAGACAGGUCUGCACCGUACAAGCUCACUUACUGUGAUUUGUGUACCACCACCCAUGCCCUACCCCUGCCACUCCAGGGGAGCUGGGCAAGACAGCUUUCUACUCACCGUAGUACAGCCACCUCAUUCCUGAAGGCCUGGAAUUGCUCUGGUGUGGGGUCAACUACCUUUAAGAUCUUGACUGCAACGUCUCCUGCAAAUUAGUUUAUAGUCAGUACAAUCAGUUGAAUGAUCUUACUUUAUUUUUCAUAUACGCUAGCUUUGAGAUAUAGCGAGUCACUUAUU